AUUGCAGAAUUCAGUVAAUCAUCSAAUCUUUVAACGCACCUUGCGCCCCUUGGUAUUCCGAGGGGCACGCCUGUUUVAGUGUCGUGAAAUUCUCAAC
Molecule: ribosomal RNA, 97 nt
Filed under: Dentipellis dissita
Lineage: Eukaryota; Fungi; Basidiomycota; Agaricomycetes; Russulales; Hericiaceae
Description: partial 5.8S ribosomal RNA
Rfam family: 5.8S ribosomal RNA (bases 1-84)
About the family: 5.8S ribosomal RNA (5.8S rRNA) is a component of the large subunit of the eukaryotic ribosome. It is transcribed by RNA polymerase I as part of the 45S precursor that also contains 18S and 28S rRNA. Functionally, it is thought that 5.8S rRNA may be involved in ribosome translocation.
Source: RNAcentral